CGUCGGUUCCCCCGCGACGACCAGCCGUGAACCCCGUCAGGCCCGGAAGGGAGCAGCGGCAGCGGCCCGGUCGGGUGCCGGGGUUGGGCUGAC
This 93-nucleotide signal recognition particle RNA is filed under the name Woeseiaceae bacterium. RNAcentral describes it as "signal recognition particle sRNA small type". It matches the Rfam family "Bacterial small signal recognition particle RNA". From Rfam's summary of the family: The signal recognition particle (SRP) is a universally conserved ribonucleoprotein involved in the co-translational targeting of proteins to membranes. The record is from RNAcentral. Lineage: Bacteria; Pseudomonadati; Pseudomonadota; Gammaproteobacteria; Woeseiales; Woeseiaceae.